CUGUUCCCCGUGUCUGCUGUUAUAAUGCUGACAUAUAUAUCUGCAAGCAACAACUCCAGGAUACUUCAGGAGGAAAUAAGAUCCCCUGUUCCGUGUGCUGUCCGCAUCCGCAGCCCUGCAAAAAGGUGUUAUUAAAGCCAAACCCAAGAAAACUUUUCUUUUGAAAAGUAAAUCCAUAAUGGGUACAGGAGCUUCCAAAACCCAGCCAAAGAAGGAAAAUGUAGGCGAUAAUGAGGAAAGAACAACUGUGA
This is a long non-coding RNA of Bufo gargarizans (Asiatic toad), 251 nucleotides long. RefSeq lists it as uncharacterized. NCBI's taxonomy places the organism in Eukaryota, Metazoa, Chordata, Amphibia, Anura, Bufonidae. The record is from RefSeq and is a predicted model, not a curated record. The transcript has 3 exons.